GGGAAUGUGGCUCUGUGGUAGAGUGCUUGCCUGCCAUGCGUGAAGCCCUGGGUUUGAUUCCCCAGUACCA
Molecule: transfer RNA, 70 nt
Filed under: Dipodomys ordii (Ord's kangaroo rat)
Lineage: Eukaryota; Metazoa; Chordata; Mammalia; Rodentia; Heteromyidae
Rfam family: tRNA
About the family: Transfer RNA (tRNA) molecules are approximately 80 nucleotides in length.
Source: Rfam by way of RNAcentral